CUCUUAAUUAAAGUUCUAUCUAUUGUAUAAUGACUCAAGGUAUGACGUUAACUUUAGUUUUCAUCUAAUAAAUUUCAAUUUUCUAAUUUAUGUGCUUGUGAAAUUCUUCACAUGCCUUUGAUUCCCCUAAGAGGUUAAAUUGCACCUAAUAUAUUAUGAAAGCUAAGUACGAAAUUGUUUCAGCUAAAAUAUGAAUAUUAGUUUAUAAUCUCUACUUUAUUCAUGUUCCCCUUGUGCUUGGAAUUGCAAUAUUUAGAUCCCUAGCCAAAAGGCGCCGAACUGCUCUUCUUUCUUCAAGCACUACCACUUGUUGCUAUAUUUAAUUUUCUGGUAUUUACCCAGGUUUGGAUGCGGUUUUGAGCAUCCCUAAAUCUUGGAGAACAGGUACGUACAUCUAAUUAAAGAUGAUAGGUCCGGCCCUGAACAUGGUAAGGAAGGCUCGGUCAUUUUUUUUUUUCAUCAACAAGGACAUAUUCUUUGGGUUUAGCCUACGAAAUUUUAAAACCUCAUUAGCUAGGUUUCUUUUCUUUAAAUUUCAGAGAGAUAAGCAAGAUAAUUUAUACUUUAUCGAUUAGAAAAAUGAAGAAAUUUAUGUUUUUUUUUUUUUUUUUGUGUCUUCUCAAUUUCUUAGUUUCUUUGUUAAAGGGGUUGGGGGAUCAUUCCUGAGCAUGGUCUUAAUUCUGUAACUGUUUGAUGGUCAAUAUAUAUGGUUUUCAACUAAUUUUUCUCCCUUUGCUAAUUUCUGAAAUCAUACAAAUGUAAUAAAUUAAGGACUAUAUAUAAAAGAAACAUAGUGAUCACAACUGACAUGUAAUCAUCUCCAUAGCAGUAUAUUUAAUUAUUCAUACAUAGAUUUCGCUCAAAAUGAUUUCGCUUGCAUCAUUAUGUAGUUUGAAAUAUCAAUAAUAAUGAAUCUCUAAUAAUAGUUAUCUUUGACAGGCCAUGCAUGAUAGGGAUGGCAUUUCAAAUACUCAUUUAGUAAUAUAUCUUUGUUUGUACCUAGUUAUACACUAAUAUAUGAAAUCAGCUAGCAUUGAUCUAUUUGGAGAAGUUGUCAAGAAGCUAGAAAUAUAUCUGUACCUGCCAUGCACAGAAGAUCCAAGCGAUCGAGACAUGCAAGAGUAAGAAAAUUUACCAUUUCUCCGGUCAUGCCAUCGAUAUUGCUGAUUAUACUGUAAUAGGAAGUUGAUGAUGAGACUGUAUCGAGAGAAGGAGAACCCUUCUCAUCAUGAGCUAAUUUAUCUGCUCUCGAUAUUAGAUUUCUCUGCUGCAGGAUCAAAAGAAUCCAGCGCCAACGUUCUCUUGCAGUGCUACUGUUGCCGGAUAUUAGCAAGGCCGUCUGCCGAGACUCGAGGUCCACAUCGUGGCCAGAGCUUGUGCUCGACAUACAGCUUGUCUGAAUAUGCAUGGCGGCUGGCGCUGUGCAUAAAACUCACUUUCUGCACUUCAACAAACAAAUUAAUCAUUAAUGGGUAGGCAAAAAUAGAAUGAAAGAAUUCGAUGGUAUGAUUGGUAGCCAGACAUAUAUACUCACAUAACUGUAUUUUUCUCCUGAGCAGCCACACAAUAACGGUACUGAUGCCGAUAGAAAAAUUGCUUCAUAGGUAGCUGGUCGUGUGUGUGUGUAUAUAUAUAUGUUGCUUUUUCUGUUCAGAUUAUUUGUUUUCCUCGAAACUUCCUCCAAAUGUUUAGGUAGCUCCAAGACUAGUGUAACUGCCGCGUGCUAAGGUUGGAGAUUGAGGCUUCCAUUACGUCUCUACCGAUCAUCCAAAACCGCGUGAACUUUUAAAAUGAUUUGCUUGGCAUUAUGAAGAGCAGAACAGACAAUAAUUGAAUGCAGCUUGUACUUGAUCAAUCAUCUGAUUAAGAUCAUGCGGCGUCGUGCCUCAACCAACGUGAUCAUGUGGGACAGAUCCGAGGGUCCAGCCAUCUGACAGGUAGAUUGUGAAGUGGUCACUGAAAUUUCCGUACCACCGUACUGGAGGGAACUGAGGUCGAUGACUCGAUCAUAUUAUUACGUCUUCUUCUAUUAAUUGUCGUGAGCUGUGGGGAAUUGCAGCGAUGUAUCCACGUCUUCGCAAGUUGUUUAUAUGGUAAAUGGUGCUCGACGUGUUUAACUUUACGAAUUACUUGAGAACUCUACUGGUGUCUCAAUUACAACGGUUCCAAUUCCAAGCCAAAUGGUCAGAGAGGGAUGAAAGGAGAUUUUUCUUUGAAGCUUCGUUCAAAUUUUUGGGAAGAUCCUUUUACUGACGAUAAACAACGUUAACGUCGACUGAAAAUGUUUUCGAGGAAAGCUUGACACUUUGAAGACAUUGUACGUACGUAAUGCAUGACGUGCUUGUGCUUUAUUUUGG
Molecule: long non-coding RNA, 2357 nt
Organism: Juglans microcarpa x Juglans regia
Lineage: Eukaryota; Viridiplantae; Streptophyta; Magnoliopsida; Fagales; Juglandaceae
Exons: 3
Source: RefSeq, a predicted model, not a curated record